AACGAACGCUGGCGGCGUGCCUAACACAUGCAAGUCGAGCGAGAAAGCACCUUCGGGUGUGAGUAAAGCGGCGCACGGGUGAGUAAUACAUGGGUAACCUGCCUUCGAGUGGGGGAUAACCUCGGGAAACCGGGGCUAAUACCGCAUAACAAGUCUCCGUCCUCGGAUGGAGAUUUCAAAGCCGGCCAAUCCUUGGAAGCAGGCGCUUGUAGAGGGGCCCAUGUCCCAUUAGCUUGUUGGUGGGGUAAUGGCCUACCAAGGCUGCGAUGGGUAGCCGACCUGAGAGGGUGACCGGCCACACUGGGACUGAGACACGGCCCAG
This 322-nucleotide ribosomal RNA is filed under the name uncultured bacterium. RNAcentral describes it as "bacterial SSU rRNA". It matches the Rfam family "Bacterial small subunit ribosomal RNA", at positions 29 to 334 of the family's 1533-position model. The record is from RNAcentral.